RNAcentral lists this non-coding RNA (21 nucleotides) under Caenorhabditis elegans. Lineage: Eukaryota; Metazoa; Nematoda; Chromadorea; Rhabditida; Rhabditidae. The record is from RNAcentral.
UCAUAAAAUAAUAAAAUUCCA